CCUACGGGGAGCAGCAGUGGGGAAUAUUGGGCAAUGGGCGCAAGCCUGACCCAACAACGCCGCGUGAAGGAAGAAGGCUUUCGGGUUGUAAACUUCUUUUAAGGGGGAAGAGCAGAAGACGGUACCCCUUGAAUAAGCCACGGCUAACUACGUGCCAGCAGCCGCGGUAAUACGUAGGUGGCAAGCGUUGUCCGGAUUUACUGGGUGUAAAGGGCGUGCAGCCGGAGAGACAAGUCAGAUGUGAGAUCCACGGGCUCAACCCGUGAACUGCAUUUGAAACUGUUUCCCUUGAGUGUCGGAGAGGUAAUCGGAAUUCCUUGUGUAGCGGUGAAAUGCGUAGAUAUAAGGAAGAACACCAGUGGCGAAGGCGGAUUACUGGACGAUAACUGACGGUGAGGCGCGAAAGCGUGGGGAGCAAACAGGAUUAGAUACCCUAGUAGUC
Molecule: ribosomal RNA, 442 nt
Filed under: uncultured bacterium
Lineage: Bacteria
Description: partial 16S ribosomal RNA
Rfam family: Bacterial small subunit ribosomal RNA
Source: RNAcentral